UAUUCUAAGAGUAACUCGGUAAGCAUUUUUUGGCCCAUAAUGCGAUAACAUUAAUUUGCUUGCAGGACAAUAUCAUUUCACUGGACAUAUAAUCCUGGGGAGUCGGGAUAAAAAAUAAUUUGAAUCUUUCUGUAGCCAAGUUUGCUUAAUUGCUAUUGAAACAUGUUCAAUGAGAUUUAAAAUCUCAUAUUUUCUUGACAAUCUAAUAUUUAUCAUCUUGUGCACUGCUCAUAAAACGCUUGCCCCUAUGCAAUUCUUUGUUUCUUGUGAUUCCUGAAAGUGAAGUUGCUGGAACUUCAGGAAUGAACUUUGAUAGUAAUUUCACCUCUCAUUAGCUUUAAUUUAACUUGUAUUAUGAUUUAUGCAUUUAAUUUUCCUUUUAACAUUUCCAAGGUUGCGGUGCUUGCAGGUUAGAAAAAUUUUUGCAUAGAA
This 432-nucleotide unclassified non-coding RNA is filed under the name Hevea brasiliensis (rubber tree). The record is from RNAcentral. Lineage: Eukaryota; Viridiplantae; Streptophyta; Magnoliopsida; Malpighiales; Euphorbiaceae.